RNAcentral lists this unclassified non-coding RNA (429 nucleotides) under Hevea brasiliensis (rubber tree). The record is from RNAcentral. Lineage: Eukaryota; Viridiplantae; Streptophyta; Magnoliopsida; Malpighiales; Euphorbiaceae.
UGGAGUCAAGGUUGUUCCCCAAGUAAGUCUAAUACACUCAUGUUUCCUAUUUAGUACUUUCAAAAUACUGAAUGAGGCAUCCCUGCGUCAAUAUUAUUGCUUUAUCCUACAAAUUGACUUCCCCAUGAAUCUAAAAAUUAGUAUGACAAUCAUAGCUUUAUAUGCUUCUUAGAUGCUUAAUGAUGAAGCAUGAGUUGCCUAGGCUGCACAAUCAGUCAAAAGGACAUAUUCCCAACAGAUAAUACAAGAAAUGGUUUAUUCAUUGAUACAUUGUAUAGCAAUUACUACUUUCAUGCGAUUGCAAGAAACAGAAAUAGGGUGUUAAGCAUGGAAAUAGAAGGCCUCUAUAGAUCAAAUAUUUUGAUUUUAAGAUAGUUGUUGAUGUUUGCCUUGUGAUUUUCUUGGAGUGGCUAACUAACUAAUUGCAUG